Molecule: transfer RNA, 88 nt
Filed under: Ardenticatenales bacterium
Lineage: Bacteria; Bacillati; Chloroflexota; Ardenticatenia; Ardenticatenales
Description: tRNA-Leu
Rfam family: tRNA
About the family: Transfer RNA (tRNA) molecules are approximately 80 nucleotides in length. Their secondary structure includes four short double-helical elements and three loops (D, anti-codon, and T loops).
Source: RNAcentral
GCCGAAGUGGCGAAACAGGCAGACGCGCUACGUUCAGGGCGUAGUGGGAGUUACUCCCGUGUGGGUUCAAAUCCCACCUUCGGCACCA